CCCAUCAAAGUAUUAGGAAUCAAAAACUUGAAACACCCAUCAUCAAAACUUGCAAUAAAACUUAGAGAACAAACACCAACAUUGGAGGAUGUACAAAGAGCACAAUCAAUGAAACUUGCAGUUCUUGAAAAUGAGAAGAAAUCAAGAAUUGUGAUAAUAGGAGCUGUUUCUGUAGGAAUUUUGUUGCUUCUAAGUGGAAUGGAUGAACAAAAGGCAUUGGCUUUGGGACCUGAAGGACCACUUGUUGAAGAGUUUUGGGACAACGUGAGAAGGUAUGGAUUGUAUGCAUUAACUGUUAGUAC
This 302-nucleotide long non-coding RNA is filed under the name Trifolium pratense (red clover). RNAcentral describes it as "long non-coding RNA (TPRA_LNC000994)". Lineage: Eukaryota; Viridiplantae; Streptophyta; Magnoliopsida; Fabales; Fabaceae. The record is from RNAcentral.